RNAcentral lists this ribosomal RNA (614 nucleotides) under Kocuria sp. RNAcentral describes it as "bacterial SSU rRNA". It matches the Rfam family "Bacterial small subunit ribosomal RNA", at positions 64 to 694 of the family's 1533-position model. Lineage: Bacteria; Bacillati; Actinomycetota; Actinomycetes; Micrococcales; Micrococcaceae. The record is from RNAcentral.
GCUUGGUGCUGGGCCUGGAUCGGACUCUAGGCGAACGGGUGAGUAAUACGUGAGUAACCUGCCCUUGACUCUGGGAUAAGCCUGGGAAACUGGGUCUAAUACUGGAUACGACAUGUCACCGCAUGGUGGUGUGUGGAAAGGGUUUUACUGGUUUUGGAUGGGCUCACGGCCUAUCAGCUUGUUGGUGGGGUAAUGGCUCACCAAGGCGACGACGGGUAGCCGGCCUGAGAGGGUGACCGGCCACACUGGGACUGAGACACGGCCCAGACUCCUACGGGAGGCAGCAGUGGGGAAUAUUGCACAAUGGGCGGAAGCCUGAUGCAGCGACGCCGCGUGAGGGAUGACGGCCUUCGGGUUGUAAACCUCUUUCAGCACGGAAGAAGCGAAAGUGACGGUACGUGCAGAAGAAGCGCCGGCUAACUACGUGCCAGCAGCCGCGGUAAUACGUAGGGCGCAAGCGUUGUCCGGAAUUAUUGGGCGUAAAGAGCUCGUAGGCGGUUUGUCGCGUCUGCUGUGAAAGCCCGGGGCUUAACCCCGGGUGUGCAGUGGGUACGGGCAGACUUGAGUGCAGUAGGGGAGACUGGAAUUCCUGGUGUAGCGGUGAAAUGCGUAGA